ACACAUGUACUUUAUCAUCAAAAAAUUGAAAAUUCGUGACGCGCCGGCUCCUUAUUCUUAUCAAAUGCGGCGUGGUUUCGAUUUCAGUGUUUUAGCACCUUCUUAUUGCAUUUCACACAUGAAUUUAUUGCAUUCUUGAA
Caenorhabditis elegans is the source of this 140-nucleotide non-coding RNA. The record is from Ensembl. NCBI's taxonomy places the organism in Eukaryota, Metazoa, Nematoda, Chromadorea, Rhabditida, Rhabditidae.